This 253-nucleotide ribosomal RNA is filed under the name uncultured bacterium. Its description in RNAcentral is "partial 16S ribosomal RNA". It matches the Rfam family "Bacterial small subunit ribosomal RNA", at positions 524 to 776 of the family's 1533-position model. The record is from RNAcentral.
UACGGGGGGGGCAAGCGUUGUUCGGAAUCACUGGGCGUAAAGCGCACGUAGGCGGAUUGCUAAGUCAGGGGUGAAAUCCUGGAGCUCAACUCCAGAACUGCCUUUGAUACUGGCGACCUUGAGUCCGGGAGAGGUGAGUGGAACUGCGAGUGUAGGGGUGAAAUUCGUAGAUAUUCGCAAGAACACCAGUGGCGAAGGCGGCUCACUGGCCCGGUACUGACGCUGAGGUGCGAAAGCGUGGGGAGCAAACAGG